AGAACGAACGCUGGCGGCAUGCCUAACACAUGCAAGUCGAACGCUCACCGGGCUUCGGUUCGGUGGGAGUGGCGCACGGGUGAGUAGCGCGUGGGAACCUGCCCUGUUGUGGGGGAUAACCGAGGGAAACUUCGGCUAAUACCGCAUGCGCCCGGGGAAACCCGGGGAAAGAUUUAUCGCAGCAGGAGGGGCCCGCGUCGGAUUAGGUAGUUGGUAGGGUAACGGCCUACCAAGCCUUUGAUCCGUAGCUGGUCUGAGAGGAUGAUCAGCCACACUGGGACUGAGACACGGCCCAGACUCCUACGGGAGGCAGCAGUGGGGAAUAUUGGACAAUGGGCGCAAGCCUGAUCCAGCAAUGCCGCGUGAGUGAUGAAGGCCUUAGGGUUGUAAAGCUCUUUCGCCCGCGACGAUGAUGACGGUAGCGGGAGAAGAAGCCCGGCUAACUUCGUGCCAGCAGCCGC
RNAcentral lists this ribosomal RNA (461 nucleotides) under uncultured bacterium. RNAcentral's name for it is "SSU rRNA". It matches the Rfam family "Bacterial small subunit ribosomal RNA", at positions 26 to 518 of the family's 1533-position model. The record is from RNAcentral.